UUUAGGAAGGUUUUUUAAAUGACAUUUAUUUUUUAAAAGUUAACAUGUGCAUAAUAGGAAACUGAAAAACACGAGAAGCAAAGAACAAAGUCAUCCAUAGUCACAAGCAGUUUAAGUUUGACAUGUCCUUCUAGGUCCUGUGUGUUCACCUACACAACUAAGCAUCCAUUUUUAUGUAAUUAAGAUCAUACAGUUAUGUAUCAUGCUUUUUCACACAUAAUGAAUAUUUAUCAUUUCAAAGUCCCAAAGCUAUAUAAGUAUUUUGAUAACCAAGAAUACACUACACCAACUCAAUCUGGAAGAAAAAAAAUGUAAUCGUGCCUUUCUUGGCGACAAAAGUGGCAAGAAGCCUCUAGAUAAAGAUACUGGCGGCGUUAUGAUUAAAAUACUGCAUUCCCUUAAUGUUCAAUUAAAAAUGAGACAUAAAGCAAGAGUACACAAAAUAUAAUACUUCUAAGAGAACUCGAUAUCCGAUCUAUACUAUUAAAAUAUUAGCAAGGGGGUAUGUUCCCACUGAAUUACUUAACAAUGAAUUCCUAUAGGACAGCCAAGAGGUGCACAGAGAUCAAUGGUUAUCAUCAAAAUGUAAGUAUGAACACAUCUUCAUACAUCCCUCCCCCUAUAUUUCCUUUCGCUCCUCUGCUGCCAACCUAACAAGUCCUCAAGUACAUUUCUCAGAGCUGGUUUAACAAUUCCAUGUCCAAGAUGGUUCUUUUCUAUCAAUUAGAACAAAAAGAUAUUUACAAAUUGGUUAAUUCACUAGCUCUACUUUUUAUCAUACAUUGUCACCUCAGGACAUCUAAAAAGCUUAGAUGCUGCAAAAUAAAGAACAAACCCUGUCUACAAUAAACACAGGUACUUUACAAAAAUGCACUUACAGACCUAUGUUAUUACCUAACACUGUCUUCUAGAUAUGGAGAUACCAGCAAAGAGCCCUUCCCUUCACCCUUCCGCUUCUCCCUCCUCCACCAUUUCAACGACUAAGUGUAGGACUGCAUCCAGCUCCAAGAGGCGGAUUAAUAAAGACACUCCAGAAGACAGUCCUUCCUAAAAACUAACAAAAGGGCAUUUUAAAAAGUGUUACUACCUCUACUUUUCCUACACUUUGGGCAUUAGGACUUGUUUAUCUUUUAAUACACGGCAAUAUUAACUAAAAUGCACAUACAGAACAAUGGUUAGACAGUCUAAACUUAUCUAGACUCAUGGGCACAGAAUCCUCUUGGCACUUCCUUCCCUGCCCCUCUCCCCCACACCCAGUGAACAGUCGGCAUACUCUCUAUCAAGGUUAACAAUCCCAUUCCAAAAACGCAACCAUUCCUAUGAAUUAACUGAAAAAAUACUUAAAGGGUAUUACUUUAACACUCUACUUCUAACAUAUGUUGUACGCUUUUAAACAUCUAGAAAGACUAGAUGUUUCAAAUAAGGAUUUAAGUUUGUCCACCACACACACAGUAGCACUGCAUAAACUGCACAUAAAGGCUAUAAUCUGCAAGUGUCUUCCCAACAGCAUCAUUCUAGCCUAGAAUCCUUCCCCCUCUAUCAACCCAGUGGACAAGCAUUUAUAAUGCUUCGAGGGGAUUUUAACUAUUUCACUUCCCUCAAGUCGUUUUCAGAACAGUCUUUCCUAUUGAUUUUAACACAAAGUGUACACAAUGUUUGUUUUCUAACUCUACGUUUGUCAUACACUGGCAACCUCUUUAACAUCUAGAAAGACUAGAUGUUGUAAAUUAGGACGCUUGUCCUUUAUAUACACUAUAUACACAGCUAAGUAAAACAAAACGCACAGACAUAUGGGACAAUGGUUAAUCUUGUCUAACUACAAACAUACUGGUAUAAAGCCCUUUGUACUCUCUUCUCCUUCCUCCCCAAACCAGCACAAAUGUAACAGUUACUGCUCAGAGAGGUGGUUUGAUCAUUUUGAUCAUUCCAUUUCUAAAAGACAGUAUUUCAUAUGAAUUUAACAAAAGGGUAUCUACAAAAUGUGUUAUUUUACUACCUCUACUUUUAACAUACUUUGUGCACUUCUGAACAUCUAGAAAGACUAGAUGUUUCAAAUAAGGACUUAUAUUUGUCCACUAUAUACACAGUAGUGUUGAAUAAACUACACACAUGUAGCAACAAUUAUUUCUGAAAGUGUCUUCUACUUCGGACAUUCUAAUCUAGAAUCCUUCAUUUCUCCCAACUCCUGCUCUCUACCACCAACUCAGUGGGUGAGUACAGGCACAUGUGUCACUUGGAUGUCAUUUUACAAUUUCAUUUCCAAAAGUCCUUUCCAGAAGACAGCCUUUUGAUGAAUUUAACACAAAGUGUACAAAAUGUGUUAGUUUACUAACUCUACUUUUGUCAUACAUUGGCAACCUCUUUAAUAUCUAGAGACUAGAUAUUAUAAAAUUAGGACCCAUUUGUCCAGUAUAUACACAAUAUAUACAGAAAAGUUAAAUGAAAUGCACAUAACAUAUAGGGCAAUGGAUAAGUGGACAUUUUCUAGUACACACUAGCAAAACAUCUUUUGGAAUUUAUUCCCUCCCACCUCCCUCAACCCAAUGAACAAGUACAGGGUAUACUGUUCAGAGAGGUGCUUUAACAAUUCCAUUUCCAAAGACAACAUUUCCCAUCAGUUCUGAAAAGCUAUUUACAAUAAGUGUUAUUUUACUUACUUCUACUUUUAAAAAAAUCAAGCACUUCUAAAUAUCUAGAAAGACUAGAUACUUUAUAUAAGAAUUUACUCGUCCACUAUGUACACAGCACUAUUAAAUAAAAUUGCACACAUGUAACAAUGGUUAUAAUCUGAGGUAUCUUCUAAAUGUGGCCAUUUUGGCCUGAACCAUUCCCUCCCUCACCUCCUCCUCUCCACAACCAAUCCAGUGGACAAGUACAGGUAUGAGUAAUGCUUUGAGGUGGUUGCACAAAUUCCUAUCUGAAAGUCAUUUACAGAAGGCAACACAAAGUGAAUUUCAACACAAAGUGUACAAAAUGUGCUAGUUUUACUAACUACUUCGUCAUACACUGGCAACCUCUUUUAACAUCUAGAGACUAGAUGCUGUAAAAUUAGGACUCAUUUGUCCAUUAUAUACAUUAUAUACACAGCAAAACAAAAUGCACAUAACAUACAAAAAAUGGUUUUGUCUGAAAAUGUCCAAGUAUGCACACACUAGCAUAUUACCAAUUGCAAUUCUUUCCCUCCCACCUCCUGCAAACCACUGAGCAAGUAUAAGCAAUAAUAUACUGUUCACAGAGAGGGUUUAACAAUUCCAUUUCCAAAAAGCAACAUUUCCAAUGAAUUUUAGCAAAAAAAUAUUUACAAAGUGAUAUUUUACUACCUCUACAUUUAACAUACGUCGGGCACUUCUAAACAUCUAGAUGGACUAGAUGUUUCAAAUAAGGACUGAAUUUGUCCACUAUAUACACAGCAGUCUUGAGUAAACUGCACACAUGGAACAGAAUCUGAAAGUCUUUGGAAUGUGAACAUUCUAGCCUAAGACCAACCUUUCCCUUCUCUCCCUCCUCCACCAACCCAGUGGGCUAGAAUGCUCAGAUUUUCAGGAGACAAUCUUUCCUAGGAAUUUUAACACAAAAUGUAUAAAAUGUAUUAGUUUACUAACUCUAUUUUUGUCAUACACUGGCAACCUCUUUAACAUCUAGAAAGACUAGAUGUUGUAAAUUAGGACUCAUUGGUCCGUUAUAUACAUUAUAUACACAGCAAAGUAAAACAAAAUGCAGGAACAUCAGGGACAAUGGUUAAUUCUGCCUCACUAACACACUGGCAUAGAGCUCUUUGUACUUCCCUCUCCCCCAGAACCAGCGCACAAACACAACGUGCACUGUUCAAAGGGGUGGUCUGGCCAUUCCCCCCAGAGAAACAGUAUUUCAUAAGAAUCUUAAAAAGAUAUUUACAAAAAUGUCUUUUUACUACCUCUACUUUUAACAUAUAUCAGGCACUUCAGAACAUGUAGAAAGACUAGAUAUUGCAAAAAAGUACUUAGCACUGUCAACUACAUACACAGUAGCGAGGAAUAAAAUGCACACACAAAACAAUGGUUAUAAAAUGAAAAUGUGUUCCAAAUAUGACCACUCUGGCACCGAGCCUUCGUUUCUUGUUCCUCAAGGUCUUCCACGCCACGUCCUCUAAUCCACUGCACAACCGUGGACGCGCGUCGCUCCUGCUGUCGCUUCCAGCGGUGGUCUAACAAUUCCAUUUCAAAGUCAUUUCCAGAAGACAUUUCUAUGAUGUUUUUGAAAACAAAUGGGCAUUUUACAAGACGUGUGAUUUUCUAACUCUACUUUAUCAUACGUCGGCAACCUCUUUACAUCUAGAAGGCCUAGAUGUAGCAAAAGUUUUCUUCUGAAAGGUUGAGGGGAAAGUUGAGAGCAGCUUUUUCAUAUUAUAUACACAGGCCUUCCAUAAACGGCCAGUAAAUCUUCCUAAAGGGUGGCGGUCACUUCCUGUGGGCCAAACGUGGUCUUUUCCUACCAUUUCUGUCUUCCAAGGUCAAGGUCUGACAGAACCGAGACCCAAAGCCCGAGGGCCCGCCGCCCCUUCCACCGUCAUCCACCGGGACGCCUCACCUUCAGGGCCCCUAAGGCCUUUGUCCGGCGUCGUCCGGACGAGGGGAGAUCUCGUCCCACUGGGACAGAGCGGUCACCGCCAUGUCCCGGAUCCGCGCGGCUCCAAGGCCUACGGGUGGCCCAGCCCGCGUCCAGCAGAGCCACCUAACGGCCCUCCUCUGCGUUCGAGCGGCCGCCAUUCUUCCGCCCCGCCACGCCCGAAGCCCAACGGCGCCGCGUCCUCGGCGGCGGCUUCGCCGCGGCCCAGCAAGGCUGCGCAGGGAGACAGGGGUCGGCAGAGUCCAGCCCCCGAGAGGCCGCCGCCAUUACGACGCGGAGGUGGGGGUGGGGCGAGAGGGUCGCUCCUGCUUCAAGGUCGGGCCCGGCCCGCGGGCAGCCGCGGCGAAGGCUCUGAGUCUCUGCAGGACAGAGCCCGCUACGGUCUGGCCCCGGGCCCCCCAGCCCACCCCCCGGCCCGAGGCCGGAGGGCCUGGAGGGCCCCGGGAGACAAGGCCGUGGUCCGCUUCUCACCGCGCUCUCUGCCGGAACUGACUUGGCAGUUCUCUUCGCUGGCGAGAGAGGAGGGGCACCGGAAGUGCCCU
Molecule: long non-coding RNA, 5147 nt
Filed under: Equus asinus (donkey)
Lineage: Eukaryota; Metazoa; Chordata; Mammalia; Perissodactyla; Equidae
Description: lncRNA (ENSEASG00005026364.1)
Source: RNAcentral